RNAcentral lists this ribosomal RNA (744 nucleotides) under uncultured bacterium. RNAcentral's name for it is "bacterial SSU rRNA". It matches the Rfam family "Bacterial small subunit ribosomal RNA", at positions 8 to 796 of the family's 1533-position model. The record is from RNAcentral.
AGAGUUUGAUCAUGGCUCAGAGCGAACGCUGGCGGCAGGCUUAACACAUGCAAGUCGAGCGGGCGUAGCAAUACGUCAGCGGCAGACGGGUGAGUAACGCGUGGGAACGUACCUUUUGGUUCGGAACAACCCAGGGAAACUUGGACUAAUACCGGAUAAGCCCUUACGGGGAAAGAUUUAUCGCCGAAAGAUCGGCCCGCGUCUGAUUAGCUAGUUGGUGAGGUAACGGCUCACCAAGGCGACGAUCAGUAGCUGGUCUGAGAGGAUGAUCAGCCACAUUGGGACUGAGACACGGCCCAAACUCCUACGGGAGGCAGCAGUGGGGAAUAUUGGACAAUGGGCGCAAGCCUGAUCCAGCCAUGCCGCGUGAGUGAUGAAGGCCCUAGGGUUGUAAAGCUCUUUUGUGCGGGAAGAUAAUGACGGUACCGCAAGAAUAAGCCCCGGCUAACUUCGUGCCAGCAGCCGCGGUAAUACGAAGGGGGCUAGCGUUGCUCGGAAUCACUGGGCGUAAAGGGUGCGUAGGCGGGUCUUUAAGUCAGGGGUGAAAUCCUGGAGCUCAACUCCAGAACUGCCUUUGAUACUGAAGAUCUUGAGUUCGGGAGAGGUGAGUGGAACUGCGAGUGUAGAGGUGAAAUUCGUAGAUAUUCGCAAGAACACCAGUGGCGAAGGCGGCUCACUGGCCCGAUACUGACGCUGAGGCACGAAAGCGUGGGGAGCAAACAGGAUUAGAUACCCCCGUAGUCC